This is a long non-coding RNA of Zingiber officinale, 253 nucleotides long. RefSeq lists it as uncharacterized. The record is from RefSeq and is a predicted model, not a curated record. The transcript has 2 exons. NCBI's taxonomy places the organism in Eukaryota, Viridiplantae, Streptophyta, Magnoliopsida, Zingiberales, Zingiberaceae.
GGUUGGUGAGGCGAAAUAUGUAUCGGAGAAAAAAGAAGAGAAGAGUUGAUGGGGAUGAAAGCUUUUGUGGAGAAAGAAGAUGAGUUGAUGUAUCUUAGUUUUUUUUAAAAAAAUUUAACUCCUUGUUUAACUUCUUGGAUUAUUAGACUUUAUAAAUAUUUGAGUGUUGAACUUGUAUAAUAUUUUGGAGUCGUUUGAAGAAGAUGUUGAGAACUUUGAAUUUGUUGUAUUGUGAUUUGAUUUCAAUUAUUAA